AUUAGAAAUUAAAAAUGUUAUCAUCUAAAAUGAGAAAUUUAAUAAAAGAGUUGGAAGAUAGAGUCAUGGAAAACUCUCACACAGUAAAACAAAGAAACUAUUUUUUAAAAAGAGAGGGAUAAAGUAAUAAAGUCCAGAGGUUCAAGCUAGGAAGUCCUACAUCCAGCCAAGAUGAGUUCCAGAAAAAGAGACCAGCGGAAAUCAAAGAAGAGAAAUGGUCAAAGAAAUAAUAAUGAUAACAUUUCCUACAACAAAAGGAUAUGUCUCCAAGUUGUAAGAGACCACUAAGUAAUUCACACUUACUAAUGAAUUUAACAAAAGAAGUGCAAAACAUAUUUUCAAAACUACAAAAUAUUGUCAAAGGAAAUUAAAGAAGAUAUAAAUGAUUUUUAAAAACGCAAGAUGGCUGUACUCCCCAAAGUAGUCUACAGAUUCAACAUCAUCCUUGUCAGACUUUGGGCUGCUUCUUUGUAGAAGAUGACAGGCUGAAUCUAAAGUUCACAUUGAACUUCAAGGAACCCAGAAGGGCCAAAUCAAUCUUAAAAUAGAAUAACAAAGUAGGAGGAUUUAUUCCUUCUAAUUUCAAAGCUUACUACAAAGCAAUAGUAAUCAAGACAGAGUGGUACUGGCACUAGGAUAGACAUACAAAUCAAUGGAAUAGAAUUGUGAGUUCAUAAAUAGACCUGUGUGUCUAUGAUCAACUGAUUUUUGACAAUGAUGCCAAGAGUAUUCAAUGAGAAAGUAACAGUCUCUUCAACAAUUGGUGCCAAUGCCAUUCAAUAGCUACAUGCAGAAGUAUGAAGUUAGACCCUUACUUUACAUCUUAAAAAAAUAAAAUCCAAAAUGAAUCAAAGACUUAAACAUAAGAGCUAAAACUCCUAGAAGUAAACAUAGGCAUAAAUUUUCAUGACCUUUUAACAAUGAUUUCUUAUAUAUGGCACCAAAAGCACAAUAAAUGAAAGAGAAAAAAGAUAAAUUUGAAUUCCUAAAAAUUAAAACUCUUGUAUAUCAAAGGACACUAUCAAGAAAGUGAAAAAACAAUCUCCAGAACUGAAGAAAACAUUUGCAAAUUGUAUGUCUAAUAAGGAUGUAGUACCAAUAUUACAUAUUUUAAAAUCUCUUAUAACUCAACAGAAAAAAGAAACAGUAGGCAAAGGACACAAAUACAUAUCUUUUCAAGGAAGAUACGCAAAUGUCCAACAAGCACAUAAAAAAAAGCUCAUCAUCAUUAAUUAUUAGGAAAAUGCAAAUCAAAAUUAUAAGACACCACUUCACAUCCAUUAGGAUAGCUAUAAUAAUAAUUUUAAAACAGCAGAACAUAAGUGUUGGUAAGGAUAUGGUGAAAUUGGAACCCUUGUACUUUGCUGAUGAGAAUUUAAAUGCUGCUGCCACUCUGAACUACAAUUUGACAGUUCCUCAAUAAAUUAAACAUAGAAUUACCAUAGGACCCAGUAAGUAAACUCAGGUUUAUACACAAAGUAUUUGAAAGCAGAUAUUCAAACAAAAAUGUAGAGAUGGAUGUUCAUAGGAGUGCUGUGCACAAUAGCCAAAAGGUGGAAACAACUCAAAUGACCAUUAACAAGUGGAUAAACAAAAUAGGGUAGACUGAGCUACCUACAUGCACUGUGCAGUGCCAGAGAGGUCAACCAGAAUCAAGAUGUCUGGCACUGAGGAAGCAAUUUUUGGAGAGCGUGACAGCCAUUCUGCUGUUCAUGGCAGUUCAGUAUGCUUUGGACAGUGCCAGUACACAGUAGAAGAGUACUAGGCCAUCCAGAAGGCCCUGAGGCAAAGGCUGGGCCCAGAAUACAUAAGUAGUGCGUGACUGGAGGAGGCCAGAGGUGUGUUACAUUGAGGGUCAUUGGGUAAUUAAUCUGGCCUAUGACAUGUUUGGUUACAACGGUGGGGCACACUCCAUCACACAGCAGAAUGUGGAUUUUGUUGACCUCAACAAUGGCAAGUUCUACAUGGGAGUCUGUACAUUUGUGAGGGUCCAGUUGAAGGAUGGUUCAUAUCAUGAAGCUGUGGGUUAUGGUGUUAGGGCCUCCAGUCCAAGGCCUUAUCUUUGGAGAAGGCAAGGAAGGAGGCAGUGACAGAAGGGCUGAAGUGAGCCCUCAGGAGUUUUUGUAAUGCACUUGGAAACUGUAUUUUGGACAGAGACUACUUGAGGUCACUAAACAAGCUUCCAUGCCAGUUGCCUCUUGAAGUGGAUUAAACUAAAGCAAAGAGAUAAGAUUUUGAACCACCUGUGGAAUAGGCAAGAUACAACAGCUGCCAACUGAACAUGACCCUGGGACACCCACAACUUCAAGUGGUGACCUUCCCUUGCGGACCAAGCCAUGUUGUGAUUCAGGGGGACAAGGAUUGUAGCUUUCCAACUUCUGAGCUCACCCACUGUUGGUGAGAGAGGCCACGUACCAGCAGAAGCUCUGGCAAAAGCAGCUGCAGCAGCAGUUCCGGGAGCAGAUGAAGAAACAGCAAGUCCACACCUUUUUGCCGUCAGUUGAGAAGUGAGGAGACUCUUGGAGACAACUCUGAAAUCUGGGAUGUGACUCCAGAUGCAGGGGAUGGUGUGGUCAAGAUUUGUCUAGAGAAGAACCACCCCAGACCUCUGACACACCAGCCUUGAACAACCAGAUGGUGACCCAGAACAGGACUCCACACAGCCUACGCUGCCAGAAACCACAAGCAAAAUCUGGAUCUUGAGACCUCCAAACUUACAGCACUGACCAGUGCAUAACAAGAAACUGGGAAGCUCAUAGGAAGGGCCAGGACAUAAAGAAAAGGAAAUUGGAUACAUCUUAACUGAGCCUCUGACUAAAUCAUUGGACUCUGUCACAAAGGGACUUUGGAAAACUACUUUUUGGUCAUGAAAUUGUUCAUCACUCAUGGAGAAUUAACUUUAUUGCUAAGGAUUUAUCGUGCUUCAAUUUGAACCUCAUCAAUAGGAUCUGACUGAGAGCCUACUGCAGUUAGAGCUGAGCACUUUUAAAAACCUCAUCCCACACUCUAGUUGGGAGAGGCUCUGGACAGAUGAAACACCUUUUCUUUGGCUUGUGAGGCUUCCCACUAUUUAUUUCUAAACUAUUAUGUUAACACCGAUGGACAUUUUAGGAAUCACAAAUGGCUGCUUGCCCUCCAGCAAUAUAGGCCAGACUUAGUACUAACCACCUGCCUCAGCAAUUACCUACAUUCAAUUGCUUUGCAUAACCUCUGCCUUCUUUCCUUUAGGGCACCAAGCAUUUAAUAUUGUCCACAUUAAGCACUGAGGAUCAUGACAGGAAAAAGGUUGGAGUAGCGCUUUUUACUGCUUUGUAUCAAUCCAGGCUACAAUCUUCAUUUAAUAUAAAUAAACUCACUUAUGGGUUUAUGGCAU
Chlorocebus sabaeus (green monkey) is the source of this 3373-nucleotide non-coding RNA. Lineage: Eukaryota; Metazoa; Chordata; Mammalia; Primates; Cercopithecidae. The record is from RefSeq and is a predicted model, not a curated record.